RNAcentral lists this ribosomal RNA (328 nucleotides) under uncultured eukaryote. RNAcentral's name for it is "partial 18S ribosomal RNA". It matches the Rfam family "Eukaryotic small subunit ribosomal RNA", at positions 1470 to 1796 of the family's 1831-position model. The record is from RNAcentral.
CCCUUAGAUGUCCUGGGCCGCACGCGCGUUACACUGAUGCAUUCAACGAGCUUAUAACCUUGGCCGAGAGGCCUGGGCAAUCUUGUUAACGUGCAUCGUGAUAGGGAUAGAUUAUUCAAAUUAUUAAUCUUGAACGAGGAAUUCCUAGUAAACGCAGAUCAUCAAUCUGCAUUGAUUACGUCCCUGCCCUUUGUACACACCGCCCGUCGCACCUACCGAUUGGAUGGUCCGGUGAAGCCUCGGGAUUGUGGUUCUUGCCGCUUUAUUGUGGCGUGACCGCGAGAACUUGUCUAAACCUUAUCAUCUAGAGGAAGGUGAAGUCGUAACA